CGUGAGGGAAAGGCGAAAAGAACCCCGGCGAGGGGAGUGAAAAAGAACCUGAAACCGUGUACGUACAAGCAGUGGGAGCCCCACCACUAAGCCAGUGGUGAACUCCACAUCCGCAUCCUUUGCUGAGGAUACGGUUAACGGAGCGAAAGCGACGUUCAACCGCAAAACAAGCAGAGGGGGCUUAGUGGUGGGGUGACUGCGUACCUUUUGUAUAAUGGGUCAGCGACUUAUAUUCUGUAGCAAGGUUAACCGUAUAGGGGAGCCGGAGGG
This 270-nucleotide ribosomal RNA is filed under the name Salmonella enterica subsp. enterica serovar Typhimurium. RNAcentral's name for it is "partial 23S ribosomal RNA". It matches the Rfam family "Bacterial large subunit ribosomal RNA", at positions 502 to 673 of the family's 2925-position model. Lineage: Bacteria; Pseudomonadati; Pseudomonadota; Gammaproteobacteria; Enterobacterales; Enterobacteriaceae. The record is from RNAcentral.